Molecule: ribosomal RNA, 254 nt
Filed under: uncultured bacterium
Lineage: Bacteria
Description: partial small subunit ribosomal RNA
Rfam family: Bacterial small subunit ribosomal RNA
Source: RNAcentral
AGGACGAACGCUGGCGGCGUGCUUAACACAUGCAAGUCGAGCGGAAAGGCCCUUCGGGGUACUCGAGCGGCGAACGGGUGAGUAACACGUGAGCAACCUGCCCUUAGCUCUGGGAUAGCUCCGGGAAACCGGUGCUAAUACCGGAUGUCUUUCAAUGAUCGCAUGAUCGAUGAAAGAAUGUUUUUUCGCUUUGGGAGGGCUCGCGGUCCAUCAGCUUGUUGGCGGGUAACGGCCUACCAAGGCGACGACGGGUA